CCUGGGUCCACCUUCUCCCUCCUCAUAAGCUGAAGAGAACUCUGAUCUCACGAGGACAGAAGUCCCAGGGGGCUGGGAGGGUAGCCCCUAAGCGGGAGUGCGAGAAAGUACAUGAAGGAAGACCUGGAGACCCUGCUGGCCCUGGAAAGAGCAAAAAUAAUUGCCCAGUAUGAUCAGGGACGCCAAGCAGGGGUUCCAGUGGAUCCUCAGGAAGACCCUGAGCUCCCCCUUUUCAAGGUCACUGACCGCCUCGGUUUCCUGCAGUGAGUUACCUGGACGCCCGUUCUUUUCAUCUCAGGGAUGGUUUCUGUUGGUGGAAACCCCUCUCUGGAGGCAGGACCCAUCUCCCCAGCUCAGAGCCUCGUCCCCUGGUGCCCACUGCAGUCCAGGGUCUACGGUUGGCUCCAGCUGAGAGA
This is a long non-coding RNA of Equus quagga, 416 nucleotides long. RefSeq lists it as uncharacterized. The transcript has 3 exons. The record is from RefSeq and is a predicted model, not a curated record. NCBI's taxonomy places the organism in Eukaryota, Metazoa, Chordata, Mammalia, Perissodactyla, Equidae.